Molecule: long non-coding RNA, 1182 nt
Filed under: Homo sapiens (human)
Lineage: Eukaryota; Metazoa; Chordata; Mammalia; Primates; Hominidae
Description: HSALNT0044178
Source: RNAcentral
GAAAUACCAGUUAUGUAUAUAUCCCUUCUGAUAUACACUCUGUGGGAGAGUGUAUCUUCCAGAUAUAUACCAUCCUACAUAUGCUUCUUACAAUGUAACAUCAACACUUCAGUCAAGAGGUGAAGUCUAUUAAACAUAUCUCAUUUCUUUCUCUUUCCUUUUCCUCAUUCUCUGACUUCUCUCUUUUAUCUUCAGCCACUCAUGGAACCCAGCCAGCCACUCUGCUGUCAGCAAGUCCACACUAGCCAUGUAGAAAAAUAACACGGAAAGUUCCACAUGGAGAGAAACUAACUCCCCCAUUCAAUAGCUAGUCAAAAAAACAACCAAGGAUAAGCAAUCCUUCAGAUGAGUCCAGCUUCCAGCCAUUGGGUCUUCCAACUGAGGCCUCAGAUACUGUGGAAAAGAGGAUGGAGAGAAGAAUGAACAUUAAGGAGGGAGUGAAGAUGAAGAAAAUGCAAAGAUACGUGCACCCUACUUCUUUAGGAAGGCUUCAAGAAACUGCCAUGGGAUACUGCUGCUUACAUCUCACUGGCAAGUGAUGUCACAUGGCUAUACCUACGUGCAUGGAAGGCUGACGUACAUGAUCUUUAUUCUGGGCUACUAUGAGCUCAGCUAAAAUUUCCAUUACCAUGGAAGAACAGUUUUAUGGAUGCAGGCAGAAGACACAAGACUCCUGGGUCAGAGACAAAGGGCAUUAUUUCUCAGGACACAGGAAGCAUCAUGAGCAUCAGUAUGUUUGGGUCAGUUCUCUUCACCUACAAGUCCCACACGGAUGUUGCCGAUGGGGCUAGAUGACAUCUGCACAUUCAGUAAGUUGUGUUAAAGGGAAGAAACCCAAAGUUUUUAUAAUGGACAGUCAGCAUUCCUGCCUUUUGCUCCAGAGAUAGACACUGUCUAUAACUUCCAAUGUUGUUUGCUAUCCAUACAUUCUUGAAGACAUAGUCCAGAACAAAGGACAGUUAAUGCCUUAUUUAUAAGAUGUGCAGAAACACAAAUGAUCCAGGGAGCUGUCUGUCAGCUAUUAGAGAUAUUCUCCUUUUAUCUAGUAUAUUGCAUAUGUUUUCUCACAAUCACUACUUAUAAUAGCUCUUAUGUUUUCUCCUUGUCUGUCUUCCUAUGGUCUUUGCUCUGAUAUGUGUAUUAUUCAACAUAAUAUGGAAAUAAUUUCUCUCAUUUCGGAUA